UACGGGGGGAGCAAGCGUUGUUCGGAUUUACUGGGCGUAAAGGGCGCGUAGGCGGCCACCGCAAGUCGGUUGUGAAAUCUCCGGGCUUAACCCGGAAAGGUCAAUCGAUACUGCGGGGCUAGAGUGCAGAAGGGGCAACUGGAAUUCUCGGUGUAGCGGUGAAAUGCGUAGAUAUUCGGCGGAACACCAGUGGCGAAGGCGACUCACUGGCCCGAUACUGACGCUGAGGCGCGAAAGCGUGGGGAGCAAACAGG
Molecule: ribosomal RNA, 254 nt
Filed under: uncultured bacterium
Lineage: Bacteria
Description: partial 16S ribosomal RNA
Rfam family: Bacterial small subunit ribosomal RNA
Source: RNAcentral